RNAcentral lists this ribosomal RNA (406 nucleotides) under uncultured bacterium. Its description in RNAcentral is "partial 16S ribosomal RNA". It matches the Rfam family "Bacterial small subunit ribosomal RNA", at positions 30 to 526 of the family's 1533-position model. The record is from RNAcentral.
AUUGAACGAUGGCGGCAGGCCUAACACAUGCAAGUCGAACGAGUGGCGGACGGGUGAGUAAUGUCUGGGAAACUGCCCGAUGGAGGGGGAUAACUACUGGAAACGGUAGCUAAUACCGCAUACCAUCGGAUGUGCCCAGAUGGGAUUAGCUAGUAGGUGUGGUAACGGCUCGCCUAGGCGCCGAUCCCUAGCUGGUGUGAGAGGAUGACCAGCCACACUGAAACGGAGACACGGUCCAGUGUCCUACCGGAGGCAGCAGUGGGGAUUAUUGCACAAUGGGCGAAAGCCUGAUGCAGCCAUGCCGAGUGUAUGAGGAAGGCCUUCGGGUUGUAAAGUACUUUCAGCGAGGAGGCGUUACUCGCAGAAGAAGCACCGGCUAACUCCGUGCCAGCAGCCGCGGUAAUUC